UCUCCGUUGGUGAACCAGCGGAGGGAUCAUUACCGAGUUUACAACUCCCAAACCCCUAUGUGAACGUUACCAAACUGUUGCCUCGGCGGGAAAUUCAUGCCCCGGGCGCGUCGCAGCCCCGGACCAAGGCGCCCGCCGGAGGACCAACCAAAACUCUUUUGUAUGUCCCUCGCGGACUUUUAUAAUUCUGAUCCAUCUCGGCGCCCCUAGCGGGCGUUUCGAAAAUGAAUCAAAACUUUCAACAACGGAUCUCUUGGUUCUG
RNAcentral lists this unclassified non-coding RNA (262 nucleotides) under plant metagenome. RNAcentral describes it as "partial contains small subunit ribosomal RNA, internal transcribed spacer 1, and 5.8S ribosomal RNA". The record is from RNAcentral.